This 62-nucleotide small nucleolar RNA is filed under the name Pyrobaculum aerophilum str. IM2. RNAcentral describes it as "PAEsR37". The record is from RNAcentral. Lineage: Archaea; Thermoproteati; Thermoproteota; Thermoprotei; Thermoproteales; Thermoproteaceae.
AUGACGAGUUGAACCCACGCCGACGCGGUGGCGAGAGCCUGCCCAGCAGUGGCGGGCGCUGA